AAAUUAAUUCAACAUCGAGGUCACAAACUUAAUUAUUAAUAAGAACUCGCUAAUUAAAUAAUGCUGUUAUCCCUAGAGUAACUUAUUAACUAUCUCUCAACAUAAAAUUCAAAGAUCCUUCUCUUCAAAUAUUGCCCCAAUCAAAAAUUACUCCAAUUUCAAGCUUCUAGGGUCUUCUCGUCCCAAAAAUCUAUAAAAGCAUUUUUACUUUUAAUUUAAAUUAAAAUAAAUUAAAUAAAACUAUCUUCUUAGUUUCAACCCUUCAUACCAGUUCUCAAUUAAAAAA
RNAcentral lists this ribosomal RNA (286 nucleotides) under Gonyleptes perlatus. Its description in RNAcentral is "partial large subunit ribosomal RNA". The record is from RNAcentral. Lineage: Eukaryota; Metazoa; Arthropoda; Arachnida; Opiliones; Gonyleptidae.